UACGUAGGGUGCGAGCGUUAAUCGGAAUUACUGGGCGUAAAGCGUGCGCAGGCGGUUUUGUAAGCCAGAUGUGAAAUCCCCGGGCUUAACCUGGGAAUGGCAUUUGGGACUGCAAGGCUGGAGUUUGGCAGAGGAGACUGGAAUUCCUGGUGUAGCAGUGAAAUGCGUAGAUAUCAGGAAGAACACCCGUGGCGAAGGCGGCUCUCUGGGACGGUACUGACGCUGAGACGCGAAAGCGUGGGGAGCGAACAGG
This 253-nucleotide ribosomal RNA is filed under the name uncultured bacterium. Its description in RNAcentral is "partial 16S ribosomal RNA". It matches the Rfam family "Bacterial small subunit ribosomal RNA", at positions 524 to 776 of the family's 1533-position model. The record is from RNAcentral.